Molecule: ribosomal RNA, 369 nt
Filed under: Discodermia polymorpha
Lineage: Eukaryota; Metazoa; Porifera; Demospongiae; Tetractinellida; Theonellidae
Description: partial large subunit ribosomal RNA
Rfam family: Eukaryotic large subunit ribosomal RNA
Source: RNAcentral
AUCAAUAAGCGGAGGAAAAGCAACUAACCAGGAUUCCCCUAGUAACGGCGAGCGAAGCGGGAACAGCUCGAGCAGGCAAUCUCUGGUGUCGAUCGCCAGCGAAUUGUGGCCGGCAGAGGCGGGUGCACCAGACGCGACUCCGUCGAAGUUGACCUGGAAAGGCACGUCGGAGAGGGUGAUAGCCCCGUGCGCGGCGGAGUCGCCGAAGGCCGCUACCGCCUUCGGAGAGUCGGGUUGUUUGGGAAUGCAGCCCAAAGUGGGUGGAAAACUCCAUCUAAAGCCAAAUAACGGCACGAGACCGAUAGCGAACAAGUACCGUGAGGGAAAGGUGAAAAGCACUUUGGAAAGAGAGUUAAAAAGGCCGCGAAA